GAUGAACGCUGGCGGCGUGCCUAAUACAUGCAAGUCGAGCGAACAGACGAGGAGCUUGCUCCUUUGACGUUAGCGGCGGACGGGUGAGUAACACGUAGGUAACCUACCUAUAAGACUGGGAUGACUUCGGGAAACCGGAGCUAAUACCGGAUAAUAUUUUGAACCGCAUGGUUCGAUAGUGAAAGAUGGCUUUGCUAUCACUUAUAGAUGGACCUGCGCCGUAUUAGCUAGUUGGUAAGGUAACGGCUUACCAAGGCAACGAUGCGUAGCCGACCUGAGAGGGUGAUCGGCCACACUGGAACUGAGACACGGUCCAGACUCCUACGGGAGGCAGCAGUAGGGAAUCUUCCGCAAUGGGCGAAAGCCUGACGGAGCAACGCCGCGUGAGUGAUGAAGGUCUUCGGAUCGUAAAACUCUGUUAUUAGGGAAGAACAAACGUGUAAGUAACUGUGCACGUCUUGACGGUACCUAAUCAGAAAGCCACGGCUAACUACGUG
RNAcentral lists this ribosomal RNA (497 nucleotides) under uncultured bacterium. Its description in RNAcentral is "partial 16S ribosomal RNA". It matches the Rfam family "Bacterial small subunit ribosomal RNA", at positions 28 to 507 of the family's 1533-position model. The record is from RNAcentral.